Astyanax mexicanus (Mexican tetra) is the source of this 496-nucleotide long non-coding RNA. RefSeq lists it as uncharacterized. NCBI's taxonomy places the organism in Eukaryota, Metazoa, Chordata, Actinopteri, Characiformes, Acestrorhamphidae. The transcript has 3 exons. The record is from RefSeq and is a predicted model, not a curated record.
UAACCCUCACUGAUCACUGACUUUAUUAAUUAUGUUUAUUUGGGUUUAGUAUUCUAAUGUUAUAUAUAGUUAAUUACAGGUAGACACUCUCACUGACCACUGACUUUAUUAAUGUUUAUUUGGGUUUAGUAUUCUAAUGUUAUAUAGAGUUAAUUACAGGUAGACACUAACUCUCACUGAUCACUGACUUUAUUAAUGUUUAUUUGGGUUUAGUAUUCUAAUGUUAUAUAGAGUUAAUUACAGGUAGACACUAACUCUCACUGAUCACUGACUUUAUUAAUUAUGUUUAUUUGGGUUUAGAAUUCUAAUGUUAUAUAGAGUUAAUUACAGGUAGACACUCUCACUGAUCACUGACUUUAUUAAUGUUUAUUUGGGUUUAAUAUUCUAAUGUUAUAUAGAGUUAAUUACAGGUAGACACUAACUCUCACUGAUCACUGACUUUAUUAAUUAUGUUUAUUUGGGUUUAGUAUUCUAAUGUUAUAUAGAGUUAAUUACA